Molecule: ribosomal RNA, 253 nt
Filed under: uncultured bacterium
Lineage: Bacteria
Description: partial 16S ribosomal RNA
Rfam family: Bacterial small subunit ribosomal RNA
Source: RNAcentral
UACGGAGGGUGCAAGCGUUGUCCGGAAUCACUGGGCGUAAAGGGUGCGUAGGCGGUUUGGUAAGUCUGAUGUGAAAUCUAUGGGCUCAACUCAUAGUCUGCAUCGGAAACUGCCGGGCUUGAGUGUGGGAGAGGUGAGUGGAAUUCCUGGUGUAGCGGUGAAAUGCGUAGAUAUCAGGAGGAACACCUGUGGCGAAAGCGGCUCACUGGACCAUAACUGACGCUGAGGAGCGAAAGCGUGGGGAGCAAACAGG